RNAcentral lists this ribosomal RNA (498 nucleotides) under uncultured bacterium. Its description in RNAcentral is "partial 16S ribosomal RNA". It matches the Rfam family "Bacterial small subunit ribosomal RNA", at positions 899 to 1397 of the family's 1533-position model. The record is from RNAcentral.
ACUCAAAUGAAUUGACGGGGGCCCGCACAAGCGGUGGAGCAUGUGGUUUAAUUCGACGCAACGCGCAAAACCUUACCUACUCUUGACAUCCUCGGAACCUUUCAGAAAUGAGAGGGUGCCUUCGGGAACCGAGAGACAGGUGCUGCAUGGCUGUCGUCAGCUCGUGUCGUGAGAUGUUGGGUUAAGUCCCGUAACGAGCGCAACCCUCGCCCUUAGUUGCCAGCAGUUCGGCUGGGCACUCUAGGGGGACUGCCGGUGAUAAACCGGAGGAAGGCGGGGAUGACGUCAAGUCAUCAUGGCCCUUACGAGUAGGGCUACACACGUGCUACAAUGGAGAGUACAGAGAGUUGCCAACCCGCAAGGGGGAGCUAAUCUCGAAAAACUCUUCGUAGUCCAGAUUGGAGUCUGCAACUCGACUCCAUGAAGUUGGAAUCGCUAGUAAUCGCGAAUCAGCAUGUCGCGGUGAAUACGUUCCCGGGCCUUGUACACACCGCCCGU